GGAGUUAGCCGGUGCUUCUUCUGUGAGUGAUGUCCUUCCUGCCGGUUAUUGACCCGCAGGCCUUCUUCCUCACUGAAAGUGCUUUACAACCCGAAGGCCUUCUUCACACACGCGGCAUGGCUGGAUCAGGGUUGCCCCCAUUGUCCAAUAUUCCCCACUGCUGCCUCCCGUAGGAGUCUGGGCCGUGUCUCAGUCCCAGUGUGGCUGAUCAUCCUCUCAGACCAGCUACGGAUCGUCGCCUUGGUGAGCCGUUACCUCACCAACCAGCUAAUCCGACAUAGGCUCAUCCGAUAGCGCGAGGCCCGAAGGUCCCCCGCUUUCCCCCGUAGGGCGUAUGCGGUAUUAGCCUGGGUUUCCCCAGGUUAUCCCCCACUACCGGGCAGAUUCCUAUGCAUUACUCACCCGUCCGCCGCUCGCCACCAGGGAGCAAGCUCCCCGUGCUGCCGCUCGACUUGCAUGUGUUAGGCCUGCCGCCAGCGUUCAAUCUGAGCCAGAAUCGAAACCUGA
Molecule: ribosomal RNA, 507 nt
Filed under: uncultured bacterium
Lineage: Bacteria
Description: partial 16S ribosomal RNA
Source: RNAcentral